UACGUAGGGGGCAAGCGUUGUCCGGAAUCAUUGGGCGUAAAGCGAGCGUAGGCGGCCCGAUAAGUCUGCUGUGAAAGUCAACGGCUCAAACGUUGAAAGCCGGUGGAUACUGUCGGGCUAGAGUUCGGAAGAGGCAAGUGGAAUUCCUGGUGUAGCGGUGGAAUGCGCAGAUAUCAGGAGGAACACCCAUAGCGAAGGCAGCUUGCUGGGACGAUACUGACGCUAAGGCUCGAAAGCGUGGGGAGCGAACAGG
This 253-nucleotide ribosomal RNA is filed under the name uncultured bacterium. RNAcentral's name for it is "partial 16S ribosomal RNA". It matches the Rfam family "Bacterial small subunit ribosomal RNA", at positions 524 to 776 of the family's 1533-position model. The record is from RNAcentral.